RNAcentral lists this ribosomal RNA (952 nucleotides) under Nocardia sp. Its description in RNAcentral is "bacterial SSU rRNA". It matches the Rfam family "Bacterial small subunit ribosomal RNA", at positions 115 to 1081 of the family's 1533-position model. Lineage: Bacteria; Bacillati; Actinomycetota; Actinomycetes; Mycobacteriales; Nocardiaceae. The record is from RNAcentral.
ACGUGGGUGAUCUGCCUUGCACUUCGGGAUAAGCCUGGGAAACUGGGUCUAAUACCGGAUAUGACCUCGGGAUGCAUGUUCUGGGGUGGAAAGAUUUAUCGGUGCGAGAUGGGCCCGCGGCCUAUCAGCUUGUUGGUGAGGUAACGGCUCACCAAGGCGACGACGGGUAGCCGACCUGAGAGGGUGACCGGCCACACUGGGACUGAGACACGGCCCAGACUCCUACGGGAGGCAGCAGUGGGGAAUAUUGCACAAUGGGCGAAAGCCUGAUGCAGCGACGCCGCGUGCGGGAUGACGGCCUUCGGGUUGUAAACCGCUUUUGACAGGGACGAAGCGCGAGUGACUGUACCUGUAGAAUAAGGACCGGCCAACUACGUGCCAGCAGCCGCGGUAAUACGUAGGGUCCGAGCGUUGUCCGGAAUUACUGGGCGUAAAGAGCUUGUAGGCGGUUCGUCGCGUCGUUUGUGAAAACUUGGGGCUCAACCUUAAGCUUGCAGGCGAUACGGGCGGACUAGAGUACUUCAGGGGAGACUGGAAUUCCUGGUGUAGCGGUGAAAUGCGCAGAUAUCAGGAGGAACACCGGUGGCGAAGGCGGGUCUCUGGGAAGUAACUGACGCUGAGAAGCGAAAGCAUGGGUAGCAAACAGGAUUAGAUACCCUGGUAGUCCAUGCCGUAAACGGUGGGUACUAGGUGUGGGGCUCCUUCCACGGACUCCGUGCCGUAGCUAACGCAUUAAGUACCCCGCCUGGGGAGUACGGCCGCAAGGCUAAAACUCAAAGAAAUUGACGGGGGCCCGCACAAGCGGCGGAGCAUGUGGAUUAAUUCGAUGCAACGCGAAGAACCUUACCUGGGUUUGACAUACACCAGAAACACGUAGAGAUACGUGCCCCCUUGUGGUUGGUGUACAGGUGGUGCAUGGCUGUCGUCAGCUCGUGUCGUGAGAUGUUGGGUU